AUUGAACGCUGGCGGCAUGCCUUACACAUGCAAGUCGAACGGUAACAGGUCUUCGGAUGCUGACGAGUGGCGAACGGGUGAGUAAUACAUCGGAACGUGCCUAGUAGUGGGGGAUAACUACUCGAAAGAGUGGCUAAUACCGCAUGAGAUCUACGGAUGAAAGCAGGGGAUCGCAAGACCUUGUGCUACUAGAGCGGCCGAUGGCAGAUUAGGUAGUUGGUGGGAUAAAAGCUUACCAAGCCGACGAUCUGUAGCUGGUCUGAGAGGACGAUCAGCCACACUGGGACUGAGAAACGGCCCAGACUCCUACGGGAGGCAGCAGUGGGGAAUUUUGGACAAUGGGCGCAAGCCUGAUCCAGCAAUGCGGCGUGCAGGAUGAAGGCCUUCGGGUUGUAAACUGCUUUUGUACGGAACGAAAAGCCCCGGGUUAAUACCCUGGGGUCAUGACGGUACCGUUAGAAUAAGCACCGGCUAACUACGUGCCAGCAGCCGCCGUAA
RNAcentral lists this ribosomal RNA (498 nucleotides) under uncultured bacterium. Its description in RNAcentral is "partial 16S ribosomal RNA". It matches the Rfam family "Bacterial small subunit ribosomal RNA", at positions 30 to 523 of the family's 1533-position model. The record is from RNAcentral.